UGCGUAGGCGGAAUAUUAAGUCAGUGUGAAAUCCUGCGGCUCAACCGUAGAACUGCCAUUGAUACUGAUAUUCUUGAAUGUAGUUGAGGUAGGCGGAAUGUGUAAUGUAGCGGUGAAAUGCUUAGAUAUUACACAGAACACCGAUUGCGAAGGCAGCUUACUAAACUAUGAUUGACGCUGAGGCACGAAAGCGUGGGGAGCGAACAGGAUUAGAUACCCUGGUAGUCC
Molecule: ribosomal RNA, 228 nt
Filed under: uncultured bacterium
Lineage: Bacteria
Description: partial 16S ribosomal RNA
Rfam family: Bacterial small subunit ribosomal RNA
Source: RNAcentral